Molecule: ribosomal RNA, 320 nt
Filed under: uncultured eukaryote
Lineage: Eukaryota
Description: partial 18S ribosomal RNA
Rfam family: Eukaryotic small subunit ribosomal RNA
Source: RNAcentral
CCCCUAGAUGUUCUGGGCCGCACGCGCGCUACACUGAACAGUUCAACAAGUCUUAACCUUGGCCGAUAGGUCUGGGUAAUCUUUGAACGCUGUUCGUGAUUGGGAUGGACCUUUGCAAUUAUGGGUCUUCAACGAGGAAUUCCUAGUAAACGCAAGUCAUCAGCUUGCAUUGAUUACGUCCCUGCCCUUUGUACACACCGCCCGUCGCACCUACCGAUUGAAUGGUCCGGUGAAAUCUCGGGACGGCGGCUUGGUCGCUUGCGUCCGACUGCUGAAACUUGAUUAAACCAUAUCAUUUAGAGGAAGGUGAAGUCGUAACA